UCCUCUUCCUUGGCACUUAAAACACUUAACAUCUCUUGAUCUUGUAGUAGAGGCUUCAGCUUUCCCUUUAUCCUUGCUGAGGGAACUAGUAGGUUUGUCCUCAUCCUUUUGAUAUGACUUGCUCUCUUUCUGGUGACUUGGCUUAUCUUCUUUAGCACCUUGAUAUCUAGUUCCAUAGUUGCCUCGAGAGUGACCUUUUCUCUUUACUUGUUGUUCCACUAGAAUGGCUUUGUGUAGCAUCUCCUCCAUCUCCAAGUAGUGUUGCAUCUCCACACUGUCUUGUAUCUCACGGUUGAGUCCUCCAAGAAACCGUGCCAUAGUAGCUUCUCUAUCCUCAGAUAUGCAAGCUCUUAACAUCAACAACUCCAUCUCCUGAUAGUAUUCUUCGACUGUCCGUGAGCCUUGCGUGAGUUUUCUUAGCUUCUGAUGGAGAUCCCGGUGGUAAUGGCUAGGCACAAAUCUCUUGCGCAUGAGAGCCUUCAUUUCUGCCCAAGUCUCAACAGGAAAUUCCCCAUUGCGCCUUCUAUUGGUGACUAGUUGAUCCCACCAACUCAAAGCAUAAUCAUAGAACUCAGUAACAGCAAUUUGAAUCUUCUUAGCUUCUGAAUAACGCCGACAAUUGAAGACUAGAUCAAUCUUCUUCUCCCAUUCUAGAUAAGCAUCAGGAUCGGCUUUGCCAUGGAAAGGAGGUAUCUUGAUCUUAACUCCAGCAAGCUCAUCUCUUUGAUACCUACGCCCUUCAUGGUCACGUCUAGAUCUUCUACUGCUGUGUCUAGAGGAAGAGCUAUGUCUAGAAGCCGAGCUGUGCCGUGCCCUAUCUCUUUCAUAAAAGUUAUCAGUUUCUUGUGAACCAGCAUGCUCUUGUCGUUCACGUCCAUUCCUCCUAGGUGCUUGCUGAUGAUCAGUCGUUUGGUCUUGUCUACCAGGGGCUCUCUGAUCGUAUCUCUCAUCCAGCAACUUUACCAAGUCUUCCAUUACUUGUUUGGUGAUAGCUUCUUGUAGGAGUUUGUUUCUUCUCAUAUACGUUGCAUCAUCUUCUUCAGUUCCCAUUGUUUUCUGUUACACACAAAAGACUGAAACAAGUAAGUAGUUCCACGGGCAAUUUGAUUUAUGAUUCGAGAUUCAAUGAAAGAAACAAUCGGAAACAAUCAAACAAAUCUCAAGCAACGCGGCAAAUCAAUACCGUGAUCAACAAGUAAGGAAUUCAAAUCGAUUUUAUUGACACAAUCAACUCAGAUUUAUCAGAAAAGGAUUCGAGAUUCAACAGGUGAUGAUUUGAGAUUAAACAAAACUUGAUCUACGGUUCUAGUAACAGAUCGAAUCACACGAACACAAGGAACUUUCGGAUCAAGCAAUCUAGUAACGUAAUCGACAAGAAUGUGAAAAGUUUUGUUCAAAACUUGAUCAGAAUCCUCAGAUCUAUCAAUAUUGAACCAUGAAACAAUAGAUCUAUCAAUCCUAUCAAUGAUACUAAUCAGAUCGAGUGAGAAACAACACGCAAAUCCCAAAUGAUCAAUGAUAUAAAACGAUAAAGAGUAGAUCUUAUGAACAAACAAAAGAGAAAUCGAAACUCCCCUUCCAGAGUGCUCUGAUACCACUUGAUGAACUCCUAGGAUGCGUCUCUGGAUGGAUCGGGAUAGAUCCUUGCAUAAACGAGUCAAGGACUCAAGCUUAUCAAGGUUUGUGGAUCGAUUGGUGACACAAGAGGCUGCGGAAAGGCUCCUUGAUACUCCUAGGCUAUAGAUCGGAUAUGACACACCAAACUAAGGCCCUUAACACUGGAUACUACACACCAGUAGACUGGAUAUUACACACCAGACACUUCAACAACUCGCAAAGCAAGAGAGAAGACACCAAAAAGGUUUUAAACAAAAGAUAACUUAGAUUAGAAUGAGGGUUUGUGAUACACUUAAAUAGAGAGAUCCUUGUACAUGCACAAGGUCUCGAAAACAUAAGAAAACAUAAAGGAAAAGGCUCCACACGGUUUCAAAGUAAUAACAUAACACUUAGAGUAAAACAUAAUAUAAGAUAGAUGAUGAAGUCGGUCCAAGGUGCCUUAGGCCGAGUUGCAUCCAAGAUACAUCAACUAGGAAUGUGUAAGUGAACUUGAUACCUCAUUAAAAACCUUGAUUAGAAAACCCAUUGGGACAAAACUAAUCAAGGGAAAAAGAGUAUACCAAGCCACUUGCCUAGAUGAUGAUCAGCUUGAUGAUAAGAUCACCUGAAUGGUGAUGAGUGUGUCUUGGUGGCUCAAGCUUCUACCAAGACAGUCUUCUUGCUCCUUAGAAAUCUUCAGUAUGUUUCCAACAGCUUACUUGAGUCUUCUUGUCAUUGCACGAGUUAUGGGACCUGUGGGAAUGGCUAGGACAUCUUCUUCUUCAGCUAGUGUAUCUUUUGUCUCUCCUUCUCCAUCUUUAUCAACUAGCUGGUCCAUGAUCAUAUCACACCAUCUCUGCCUUCUUUUUGCCAUCAAAGCUGACCCUUUCACACUCAGGUAAAGGGAUUAAAUCCAAAGGAGAGUUGGGAUUGAACCCAUAAACAAUUUCAAAAGGAGAAAACUUAGAAGUAGAAUGCACAGCAUGAUUGUAUGCAAAUUCACAAUGAGGCAAAUAGUCUUCCCAUGAUUUCAAGUUUUUCUUUAUGAAUGUACGCAAGAGUGUUCCAAGAGUCCUAUUAACUACUUCAGUUUGUCCAUCAGUUUGUGGAUGACAAGUAGUAGAAAACAAGAGUUUAGUACCUAGUUUAGACCAAAGAGUCUUCCAAAAAUAACUAAGAAACUUAGUAUCUCUAUCAGAAACAAUAGUCUUAGGCAUGCCAUGUAUGCGCACAAUCUCUUUAAAGAACAAGUUAGCAAUAUGCAAUGCAUCAUCAGUUUUGUGACAAGCUAUGAAAUGUGCCAUCUUUGAGAACCUAUCCACAACUACAAAGAUAGAAUCCUUUCCAGUCCUAGUUCUAGGCAAUCCAACAAUGAAAUCCAUAGAUAUGUCAUUCCAAGGAUGAUAAGGUAUAGGGAGAGGAGUAUACAAACCGUGAGACUGAACCUUAGACUUAGCUUGCUUGCAAGUUGCACAUCUCUCACAUAGUUUCUCCACAUCUCUUUUCAUCCGAGGCCAAAAGAAGUGAUCCUGCAAAGUUUUAAGAGUCUUUGCAACACCAAAGUGACCCAUGAGACUUCCUCCAUGAGAUUCCCUAACAAACAAGUCUCUCAAAGAACAGUUAGGCACACACAAUCGAUUAUCAUAGAAAAGAAAACCAUCAUGUCUAAAGUAGUGUCCUACAGCCAAUUUCUCACAAGAGUUGUAAGCCUCUCUAAAAUCAGGAUCAUUCUCAUACAUUCCUUUAAUCUGCUCAAAUCCUAAUAGCUUAGCAUCAAGAGUGUUCAAGAGAACAUACCUUCUGGAUAGUGCAUCAGCAACUAUGUUUUCCUUACCUUGUUUAUACUUGAUGACAUAAGGAAAUGUCUCAAUGAACUCAACCCACCUUGCGUGUCUCUUGCUGAGCUUGUUCUGUCCUUUGAGGUAUUUGAGAGACUCAUGAUCUGUGUGUAUGACGAAUUCUUUAGGCCAGAGAUAGUGCUGCCAAGUCUGCAAGGCUCUCACCAAGGCAUACAGCUCUUUAUCAUAAGUUGCAUAGUUGAGGGUAGCUCCUCCAAGCUUCUCACUGAAGUAUGCAAUGGGUCUCUUCUCCUGCAUCAAUACAGCACCAAUACCAAUUCCUGAGGCAUCACAUUCUAUUUCAAAAGUUUUAUGAAAGUCAGGAAGUAUAAGAAGAGGGGCAUGAGUAAGCUUCUCUUUAAGGCAUUGGAAAGCAAGUUCUUGUGCUUCUCCCCACUUGAAUCCGACUUCUUUCUUGAUUACUUCAGUCAAGGGAGAUGCAAUGGUGCUGAAGUCUUUCACAAAGCGCCUAUAGAAGCCAGCAAGUCCAUGGAAGCUUCUUACUUCACUCACGGUUUUAGGAAUUGGCCAUUCUUGUAUAGCCCUUACUUUCUCCGGAUCAACUUUAACCCCAUCUGCACCCACAAUAAAACCUAAAAAGACCAAGUUAUCUGUGCAGAAUGUACAUUUCUUAAGAUUAGCAUAAAGUUUUUCUUUCCUCAACACAUCAAGAACAGUCUUAAGAUGGUCUAUAUGCUCUUCUAGACUCUGACUGUAGAUUAGGAUAUCAUCAAAGUAAACUACCACAAACAAACCUAUAAAGGACCUAAGCACAUGGUUCAUCAAUCUCAUGAAAGUACUAGGUGCAUUAGUCAAUCCAAAGGGCAUAACUAACCACUCAUAUAACCCAUGCUUAGUCUUAAAGGCAGUUUUCCACUCAUCUCCUUCUUUCAUCCUAAUCUGAUGAUAUCCACUCUUUAGAUCUAUCUUAGAAAAGAUGCAUGAACCAUGUAAUUCAUCAAGCAUAUCAUCUAAUCUAGGAAUAGGAUGGCGAUACUUCACUGUUAUAUUGUUGAUUGCUCUACAAUCAACACACAUGCGCCAGCUUCCAUCUUUCUUGGGCACAAGCAGUACUGGAACAGCACAAGGGCUCAUGCUCUCUCGGAUAUGCCCUUUCUCCAUCAGUUCCUCUACUUGCCUUUGUAGUUCUUUGGUCUCAACCGGAUUGGUUCUGUAUGCUGGCCUGUUGGGAAGUGUAGAACCAGGCACAAAGUCAAUUUGGUGUUCAAUCCCUCGCACUGGUGGUAGUCCUUUGGGACUAUCUUCUGGAAAAACAUCUUGAUAUUCCUGCAAAAGAGACACAAGUUCACUCGGAUACUCCGGUGCAAUAUCAGUAGUAGUCAAGAGUGAUUCCUUAUAGAUAAACAAAAGAAUAGGAAGGUUAGAGCAGAGAGAUCUUUUAACAUCACCAGACUUGGCAUAGAAGUUUAGUUGCUUUGUUGAUUCAGCGGGUAGAUCAAUCUCUUUCUUCUUUUGUAGUUGGAGCUGAUCAACCUGAACUUCCUUAGGAGUCAUAGGCACAAGAACUGUCUUUCUCCCUUUAAACUCAAAGGUGUGCUUGUUGGCAUACCCAUCAUGUAUCACACGUCUAUCUGAUUGCCACGGCCUUCCAAGGAGAAUGUGUCCAGCUUCCAUAGGCAGUACAUCACAAAGAAUCUCAUCUUCAUAUUUACCAAUGGCUAAGGGAACCACAACCUGAGUAGAGACUCUCAUCUCGCCCUCUUCAUUGAGCCAUUGGAGCCUAUAUGGUUUAGGAUGCUUCUGGACCCUCAAACCCAACUUUUUAACCAUAGUCUCACUCGCAACGUUGACACAACUGCCUCCAUCCACAAUAAGACUACAGACCUUUCCUUGUACUAGACAUCUAGUAUAGAAGAGAUUCUCUCUUUGCUCCAUCUCUUCGGUCUUGCUUUGAAGACUCAAGGUUCUUCUAGCAACUAGCAACCUUCCAGCGACCGGGUUGGCAACAUACUCCUCUUCUGAACUGUGAUCUUCUUCGGCCUCUGUCUCCUCAUCAGUAGAUUCAUAUUCUCCAUUGUCAUGAAGGAUCAUCACACGUUUGUUGGUGCAUUCAUUAGCGUAGUGUCCUCUUCCUUGGCACUUAAAACACUUAACAUCUCUUGAUCUUGUAGUAGAGGCUUCAGCUUUCCCUUUAUCCUUGCUGAGGGAACUAGUAGGUUUGUCCUCAUCCUUUUGAUAUGACUUGCUCUCUUUCUGGUGACUUGGCUUAUCUUCCUUAGCACCUUGAUAUCUAGUUCCAUAGUUGCCUCGAGAGUGACCUUUUCUCUUUACUUGUUGUUCCACUAGAAUGGCUUUGUGUAGCAUCUCCUCCAUCUCCA
Molecule: long non-coding RNA, 5773 nt
Filed under: Brassica rapa (field mustard)
Lineage: Eukaryota; Viridiplantae; Streptophyta; Magnoliopsida; Brassicales; Brassicaceae
Description: long non-coding RNA (BRAP_LNC008875)
Source: RNAcentral